ACUUUCCUUGUCAUGGGGUGGUUGGGAAGCUCAAUGAACGUGUGGUGAGGGCUCCCCUGCUGACACCAUAAUCAACACAUACGCACCACCUGAACCCCGAGUUCAGAUCACGGUGCAAUUUUUGGAAAA
RNAcentral lists this non-coding RNA (129 nucleotides) under Mola mola (ocean sunfish). RNAcentral's name for it is "U4atac minor spliceosomal RNA (ENSMMOG00000002062.1)". It matches the Rfam family "U4atac minor spliceosomal RNA". From Rfam's summary of the family: U4atac is an essential component of the minor U12-type spliceosome complex which is required for removal of the rarer class of eukaryotic introns (AT-AC, U12-type). These interacting stem loops have been shown to be required for in vivo splicing. The record is from Rfam by way of RNAcentral. Lineage: Eukaryota; Metazoa; Chordata; Actinopteri; Tetraodontiformes; Molidae.